ACUCAAAUGAAUUGACGGGGGCCUGCACAAGCGGUGGAGUAUGUGGCUUAAUUCGAUGCAACGCGAAGAACCUUACCUGGCCUUGACAUGCAAGUGGUAGGACCAUGAAAGUGGGACGACCCCGCAAGGGGAGCUUGCACAGGUGCUGCAUGGCUGUCGUCAGCUCGUGUCGUGAGAUGUUGGGUUAAGUCCCGCAACGAGCGCAACCCUUGUGUCCUGUUGCCACCCCCACGAGAGUGGGGAGCACUCUGGACAGACUGCCUCGCUUAAACGGGGAGGAAGGUGGGGAUGACGUCAAGUCAGUAUGGCCCUUACGGCCAGGGCUGCACACGUACUACAAUGCCCGGUACAGAGGGAAGCAAGACCGUCAGGUGGAGCAAAUCCCAGAAAACCGGGCCCAGUUCAGAUUGUCGUCUGCAACUCGACGGCAUGAAGCCGGAAUCGCUAGUAAUGGCGCAUCAGCUACGGCGCCGUGAAUACGUUCCCAGGCCUUGUACACACCGCCCGU
Molecule: ribosomal RNA, 508 nt
Filed under: uncultured bacterium
Lineage: Bacteria
Description: partial 16S ribosomal RNA
Rfam family: Bacterial small subunit ribosomal RNA
Source: RNAcentral